Molecule: long non-coding RNA, 302 nt
Organism: Photinus pyralis (common eastern firefly)
Lineage: Eukaryota; Metazoa; Arthropoda; Insecta; Coleoptera; Lampyridae
Exons: 3
Source: RefSeq, a predicted model, not a curated record
CGAAGACCUGGAAGUGUUUUUUGAUGUCAUUGAUGUACAAAAAACCUAUGGCCGAAUCUGAUUCUGAUUCUAAUCAGUGGCAAUUAUCAGUACCACGCUUCCACUACAACGUGCCGUUCGAUUUCAUAAUUACAUAUCGUCACUAAACCAUCCACAGGCACCUGUUCAGCUAGGGCAAACAUCCUUGAAACUAAUUAGCUGUGCAACGAUACGAAACUUCUUAUCUAUGACUGGAGAAAAUCAUGAGAUAAACUUUUACAAAUACUAGACAAAAAUUACCAAAUGAAUUAUUUAAUCUAUAA